UACGUAGGGUGCAAGCGUUGUCCGGAAUUAUUGGGCGUAAAGAGCUCGUAGGCGGUCUGUCGCGUCGGCUGUGAAAACCCGGAGCUCAACUCCGGGCCUGCAGUCGAUACGGGCAGACUGGAGUUCGGCAGGGGAGACUGGAAUUCCUGGUGUAGCGGUGAAAUGCGCAGAUAUCAGGAGGAACACCGGUGGCGAAGGCGGGUCUCUGGGCCGAUACUGACGCUGAGGAGCGAAAGCGUGGGGAGCAAACAGG
Molecule: ribosomal RNA, 253 nt
Filed under: uncultured bacterium
Lineage: Bacteria
Description: partial 16S ribosomal RNA
Rfam family: Bacterial small subunit ribosomal RNA
Source: RNAcentral